Molecule: ribosomal RNA, 1408 nt
Filed under: Escherichia coli
Lineage: Bacteria; Pseudomonadati; Pseudomonadota; Gammaproteobacteria; Enterobacterales; Enterobacteriaceae
Description: bacterial SSU rRNA
Rfam family: Bacterial small subunit ribosomal RNA
Source: RNAcentral
UUUAUGGAGAGUUUGAUCCUGGCUCAGGAUGAACGCUGGCGGCGUGCCUAAUACAUGCAAGUCGAGCGAACAGACAAGGAGCUUGCUCCUUUGACGUUAGCGGCGGACGGGUGAGUAACACGUGGAUAACCUACCUAUAAGACUGGGAUAACUUCGGGAAACCGGAGCUAAUACCGGAUAAUAUUUUGAACCGCAUGGUUCAAAAGUGAAAGACGGUCUUGCUGUCACUUAUAGAUGGAUCCGCGCUGCAUUAGCUAGUUGGUAAGGUAACGGCUUACCAAGGCAACGAUGCAUAGCCGACCUGAGAGGGUGAUCGGCCACACUGGAACUGAGACACGGUCCAGACUCCUACGGGAGGCAGCAGUAGGGAAUCUUCCGCAAUGGGCGAAAGCCUGACGGAGCAACGCCGCGUGAGUGAUGAAGGUCUUCGGAUCGUAAAACUCUGUUAUUAGGGAAGAACAUAUGUGUAAGUAACUGUGCACAUCUUGACGGUACCUAAUCAGAAAGCCACGGCUAACUACGUGCCAGCAGCCGCGGUAAUACGUAGGUGGCAAGCGUUAUCCGGAAUUAUUGGGCGUAAAGCGCGCGUAGGCGGUUUUUUAAGUCUGAUGUGAAAGCCCACGGCUCAACCGUGGAGGGUCAUUGGAAACUGGAAAACUUGAGUGCAGAAGAGGAAAGUGGAAUUCCAUGUGUAGCGGUGAAAUGCGCAGAGAUAUGGAGGAACACCAGUGGCGAAGGCGACUUUCUGGUCUGUAACUGACGCUGAUGUGCGAAAGCGUGGGGAUCAAACAGGAUUAGAUACCCUGGUAGUCCACGCCGUAAACGAUGAGUGCUAAGUGUUAGGGGGUUUCCGCCCCUUAGUGCUGCAGCUAACGCAUUAAGCACUCCGCCUGGGGAGUACGACCGCAAGGUUGAAACUCAAAGGAAUUGACGGGGACCCGCACAAGCGGUGGAGCAUGUGGUUUAAUUCGAAGCAACGCGAAGAACCUUACCAAAUCUUGACAUCCUUUGACAACUCUAGAGAUAGAGCUUUCCCCUUCGGGGGACAAAGUGACAGGUGGUGCAUGGUUGUCGUCAGCUCGUGUCGUGAGAUGUUGGGUUAAGUCCCGCAACGAGCGCAACCCUUAAGCUUAGUUGCCAUCAUUAAGUUGGGCACUCUAAGUUGACUGCCGGUGACAAACCGGAGGAAGGUGGGGAUGACGUCAAAUCAUCAUGCCCCUUAUGAUUUGGGCUACACACGUGCUACAAUGGACAAUACAAAGGGCAGCGAAACCGCGAGGUCAAGCAAAUCCCAUAAAGUUGUUCUCAGUUCGGAUUGUAGUCUGCAACUCGACUACAUGAAGCUGGAAUCGCUAGUAAUCGUAGAUCAGCAUGCUACGGUGAAUACGUUCCCGGGUCUUGUACACAC